CCUACGGGGAGCAGCAGUGAGGAAUAUUGGUCAAUGGACGAGAGUCUGAACCAGCCAAGUAGCGUGAAGGAUGACUGCCCUAUGGGUUGUAAACUUCUUUUAUAAAGGAAUAAAACGAGGCACGUGUGCCUUUUUGCAUGUACUUUAUGAAUAAGGAUCGGCUAACUCCGUGCCAGCAGCCGCGGUAAUACGGAGGAUCCGAGCGUUAUCCGGAUUUAUUGGGUUUAAAGGGAGCGUAGAUGGGUUGUUAAGUCAGUUGUGAAAGUUUGCGGCUCAACCGUAAAAUUGCAAUUGAUACUGGCAGUCGUGAGUACAGUUGAGGUAGGCGGAAUUCGUGGUGUAGCGGUGAAAUGCUUAGAUAUCACGAAGAACCCCGAUUGCGAAGGCAGCUUACUAAACUGUGACUGACAUUGAUGCUCGAAAGUGUGGGUAUCAAACAGGAUUAGAUACCCUUGUAGUC
Molecule: ribosomal RNA, 460 nt
Filed under: uncultured bacterium
Lineage: Bacteria
Description: partial 16S ribosomal RNA
Rfam family: Bacterial small subunit ribosomal RNA
Source: RNAcentral